Labrus bergylta (ballan wrasse) is the source of this 404-nucleotide non-coding RNA. The record is from RefSeq and is a predicted model, not a curated record. Lineage: Eukaryota; Metazoa; Chordata; Actinopteri; Labriformes; Labridae.
CGGAGGGACAAACGGCACCUUGGGAAACGGCCAAGAAAGACGAGAACCGCAACAAGAAUCGCUAUGGCAACAUCAUCGCUUACGAUCACACCAGAGUCCGCCUGCAGUUGCUGGACGGAGACCCCCACUCUGACUACAUCAACGCCAACUACAUCGACGGGUACCACAGACCCAGACAUUACAUCGCCACACAAGGGCCCAUGCAGGAGACGGUGAGGGAUUUUUGGAGGAUGGUCUGGCAGGAAAACUCGGCCUCUAUCGUCAUGGUUACUAAUUUGGUAGAGGUGGGCAGGGUGAAGUGCGUGCGCUACUGGCCGGAUGAGACAGAGGUCUACGGAGACAUCAAGGUGACCCUGAUAGAAACUGAACCGCUGGCUGAAUACGUCAUCCGGACAUUCACCGUU